UACGUAGGGCGCAAGCGUUGUCCGGAAUUAUUGGGCGUAAAGAGCUCGUAGGCGGCUUGUUACGUCGGUUGUGAAAGCCCGGGGCUCAACCCCGGGUCUGCAGUCGAUACGGGCAGGCUGGAGUGUGGUAGGGGAGAUCGGAAUUCCUGGUGUAGCGGUGAAAUGCGCAGAUAUCAGGAGGAACACCGGUGGCGAAGGCGGAUCUCUGGGCCAUUACUGACGCUGGAGGAGCGAAAGCCAGGGGAGCAAACGGGG
RNAcentral lists this ribosomal RNA (255 nucleotides) under uncultured bacterium. RNAcentral's name for it is "partial 16S ribosomal RNA". It matches the Rfam family "Bacterial small subunit ribosomal RNA", at positions 524 to 777 of the family's 1533-position model. The record is from RNAcentral.